GAUGAACGCUGGCGGCGUGCUUAACACAUGCCAGUCGAACGGUGAAGGCGGAGCUUGCUCUGCUGGAUCAGUGGCGAACGGGUGAGUAACACGUGAGCAAUCUGCCCCUGACUCUGGGAUAAGCGCUGGAAACGGCGUCUAAUACUGGAUACGAGCUGCGAAGGCAUCUUCAGCAGCUGGAAAGAACUUCGGUCAGGGAUGAGCUCGCGGCCUAUCAGCUUGUUGGUGAGGUAACGGCUCACCAAGGCGUCGACGGGUAGCCGGCCUGAGAGGGUGACCGGCCACACUGGGACUGAGACACGGCCCAGACUCCUACGGGAGGCAGCAGUGGGGAAUAUUGCACAAUGGGCGAAAGCCUGAUGCAGCAACGCCGCGUGAGGGACGACGGCCUUCGGGUUGUAAACCUCUUUUGGCAGGGAAGAAGCGAAAGUGACGGUACCUGCAGAAAAAGCGCCGGCUAACUACGUG
This 468-nucleotide ribosomal RNA is filed under the name uncultured bacterium. Its description in RNAcentral is "partial 16S ribosomal RNA". It matches the Rfam family "Bacterial small subunit ribosomal RNA", at positions 28 to 507 of the family's 1533-position model. The record is from RNAcentral.